AGGAGGAGUGUAGGAGGGAGAGACAAGCCAGUUUUUCUGCUUCUGAGGGCACUUCUAGUCACAUGGUGGUAGGGGCAGUGGGUGACUGAGCACCUGGAGAACAGAAAAGCCAUGAACCGAUGGGAAGAUGGGUGCAAAUGGGACAUGUUUGGGGCAGAAGUAAGUGGAUGAAUAGGGAAGAGAGGAGGAGUUCAACUUUGGAUAUAGAAAGUUUGAGAUGCCUAGUAGCUAUCCACAUGGGGAGAUCAAUAAGUGACUAGAUAGUUUGGAGCUGGCUGUAGAUAUAGGUCUGAAAGUUAGUGAUGUCGUUUGAAAGCCAUGAGAUUAGGUGAGCUCACUGAGGAAUAGAGAAAAAGAGGACCACCCCCGAAUCCAGGCUGUCUGACAUGAAAACUCAGGGAGGAGAAGAGAAACUGACAAAAACAGAUUGAAAAAGAGGGAUCAGUGUUGUAGGAGGAAGAUCUCAGAGAAGAGACAGGGACCAACUUUGUCAGAUGGGCUGCUGUGUCAAAACCGCAUGGACGCUGAAUGGACGGCUGACGUCAGCAACAUAAAGAUUCGAAGCCAGGGUUGAGUCCUCCUAACAGGGCGAGUUCUCUGACAAGGAAGUUUUGCAAGCAAAUUUACAGCUGGAGUCAAGCUCGUCAGUGAGGGCCAGAGGGGAACUGUCGCAAUCCACUGGGUGUUUGAAAAAUGCCUCUAACGUGUGUGGGCUAGAAUACAUUUUGUUUUUCUGUGGGCAUAUUCAUUUAACAAGGGCAGCCUUUGAGGAACGAUCAAAAACUGUUUGUCAUUUUUCCAAAUCAUCUCUCUCUGCGGUGACCAUGACUUAAUCCUGAAGGAAAACAAGUCUUUUCCCUUCUGGUCUCUGCGCUCUUGAAGGACAUUUGGGCCUGAAGUCCCAGGACUUAAGGCUGAUCCCGGCACAGAUGAGGACAGGAAGAGGUGGUAAAGAAAAUAAGCUUACAAAUAUAGCCUACGAAACCACGCAUGAGUAAAUAAAGAACUAGGAGACGCCACUGCAGAGGAGAAGACGAGAAGCACCUGAGGGCAGAGGUGGGAAUGGGUGCAGAAGGGACUCUGACACAAUCGGAGAAGCUCCCACAAGCAUGGUGCCUGAUGCCUGACACAGCAAAGUGUAUCUGCUCUAUUGCAAACGUCUUUACCUUUUUCAGAUGAGAGUUCCAUUAUUUCACAAUGACAAAUUUUACUUUGUUUUUCUGCAUCAUGGUGACGUAAGGUCAUGUUCCCAGGGUUGUGGGAUCGAGCCCCGCAUCAGGCUCCUCGCUGAGUGUCGAGUCUGCUUAAGAUUCUGUCUCUCUCUCCCUCUGCCUUUCCCCAACUCGAGUGUAUGCUCUCUCUUUCUCUCUGUCUCAAAAAAAAAAAAAUAGUAUUUGAGGCUGGAGUUUCCUUACCUGUGAAGUAAGGCAGAUCAACCAAUUCAUCCAGAAGAGCAUCCCUUUCAAAGUUUAGACACUACAAAGACUUCAAAUAGCAUCCUCUGUUUCUACAUUUACUGGCCUUCUGUUAAGAUAACAUGUCUUACAAACCACAGUCCAGAAGCCAGGCAUUGCAGCUUGGCAUCAGCUCAGCCUACGAGAGAAAAAUUCCAUCUCGUUUUAUUUAUUUUUAAAUGUUUGUUUAAUGUGAGAGAGAGAGAGAGAGAGCAGGGGAGGGGCAGAGAGAGGGGGAGAGAGAGAAUCCCAAGCAGGCUCCGCAUUGUCAGCACAGGGCCUGAGGCAGGGCUCAAUCCCACGAACUGGAAGUUCACGACCUGAGCCGAGGUCAAGAGUCAGAUGCUUCACCCACUGAGCCACCCAGGGGUCCGUCACCUCAUUUUAUUUUUACAGAAGUCACAAGAUCAUCCCUUUGUAGCUGUAACAUUUCUUCACUUAAAUAUAGCCUAGGACAGACUGGUGAAGAUUUUGUUACUGGUGGCAGGUUACUGAUGGCAGAAAGAGUUUCAGCAAAUGCCUCAAUCUAGUGUUACUAGAUUUGCAAGUGAGUAACAGUGAGUUUCAUCCAACGUAUAAUAAAUAUCCUGAACUUUCCCUGUCCAGAAGCAAAACAAAAUUGAAAGAACUCAAACCUUUUCCUAUGGACCUAAGUUGGAAGCAUAUCAAAUUCUUCAUCUUAGAAUUUAGACUUUUCGAGAAAUCUGCUUUCAUGUUAUGUUUAAUUUGACUACGCCUGGGAAUGCAUUUGUGUGUGUUGUUAUGAUGUCAGGUAGAGGGAGAAAGAGACAGACAAAGGGCGGGGGCGGGGAGGGUGGAGGAGGGAAGGGGGAGACUGUUGUGCUGUGUUCCCCAGAGUUUAGUGUAGGUCUACAGCUUAAAGAUCAACAUCAUCUUGAAGAUGACAUGAGAAAAGGAGAAGAUAGAAAGGGCAUAAGUGUUUAUGGACCACAUUGGUGCACUUAGCCUCUGACACUGGAUUCUUUUGAUUUCAAAACAGUUUUUAAUGUUAGUUUCAUUGUUUUGAUGUAAAUGAAAAUAUCUCCUGCUUUAUGAACAAAUGUGUCAAUUAAUAUGGCGCUGUAUCUUAAUAAAGUAAUAUAUGUUCACCUUAACAACCUUGGAAGACCCUAUCUGACUUUUACGAACUGAACGUUUUCCCUCACUGCAGAUUGAAAUUGACAUUUUACUUCUCUGCAGGUGAGCAUGUGACAGUUUCAGCUACAUGGUAACUCAACACAAGGGUCAUAUACUGGCUAUUACCAUGCUCUUCCAGAUUUA
Long non-coding RNA from Acinonyx jubatus (cheetah), 2735 nucleotides. RefSeq lists it as uncharacterized. The transcript has 5 exons. The record is from RefSeq and is a predicted model, not a curated record. NCBI's taxonomy places the organism in Eukaryota, Metazoa, Chordata, Mammalia, Carnivora, Felidae.